Pygoscelis adeliae (Adelie penguin) is the source of this 72-nucleotide non-coding RNA. The record is from Rfam. Lineage: Eukaryota; Metazoa; Chordata; Aves; Sphenisciformes; Spheniscidae.
GGCCUCAGGGUGCAAUGGCAGCACGUCUGACUUCAGAUCAGAAAGUUGUGUGUUCGAGUCACACUGGGGUCA